CACAGCAGUUAUUCAUCCCCGGAAGGUGACUACUGCUUGGCAUCUAAGAGGUUUAGACUGCUCCUGAAUGCCAUGUAAAUGGACAAGAUUGUAUAUACUCCUAUGGGUCUGACUUUUCUCCCAAAUUGUGUCUGUGGAAUUUAUUCACACUGUGCUUUUGCAUGGUUUGUACUUUUUCAUCGCUGGAUAGUGUUUGAUUGCACAGAUGCACCACAAUUACUGAAGCUAAACACAGGCUUCUCUCAUUUCAGGUCCCUUGCACCCCUUUGAUCCGAAUGGAAGAUGUCAGGAUGCCUUGCUUCCUGCCUGUUAGCCCUGAACUCUUGCUCUCCACACAUCUAGAGGGCACUGUUACCUAAGCCUGGUUCAUCUGUAGAGAAACACCACACACUUCCUGUUAGUUUUAGACAACCUUGUGGGCAUCUCCGCAGACAACAACUGCAGUUCCCUCAGGCCAAAGCCACAACAAAAUAGGAACUCAUUCGCACCUGUUGCUCACUACAGUUUUCAAUGCCCACCUAAAUCUACCGGAUUUGUAAGUCUUUUAAGUUCUCAGUUGUAUUUUUACAAGUUGCUGGAGUUUAUAGCUUUUACUUGUGGAAUUAUCAGUUUGUUCUGUGUUAGGUACUCAUUUUUCCAUUCUGGAAGCGGAAGUGUAGGGUAACCAGUGCAAAAAGCACUUAAAUAAGACUCUUAGGAAUAGUUGCAUUACUUGGCGGGUCUUACCAACAGUACAAGGUGAUCUUUUGCAUUCCUCGCCGUCACCCUUACCCUGCUUCAUUCUUCUUUCUAGAACCUGGCAUGUGUGUGUAUUUUUGUAUGGUCUCCCAUUCUCCUCCUUUAAAAGGUAAGGUCUAGGAGAGCAGGAGCUUUACCUACUGUGUCCUCAGUGUGGAUCUGCAAAGAGGAAGAAAUCAGGGAAAGGUGGGAAGAUGUGGGCAGCAGGAGGGCCCAUUCAGCAGCUGGAGUUUUGCAUAAGAUGGUCUUCCUUAGAAACACCAUAGUUGGCUAGCGAAGGAAAAACAGAGAUUAGACAUUGUGGAUUGUAACCACUAGGUGGUGCUGCUUAUCAACUUUCCUAAAAUCAAGCCUGACUAGAACUGCUCUUCAUCAACUCUGAAUCCUUACUCUCUUCCAGGACCCCGCUUAAAAUGCCAUGUCUGUGGCGGCACGUCCCUGCCCUCACUCCAAACCUGCAGGCUGAAGGCCUCCGUGACAAUGACUUCUACCUCCCACCCCCUCAAGCCUCUAUGUGAAUGGACAUUAAUGAGGCCUUCUAGGUACGAAGGGCCCUGGAUGGGAGCAGUGUAAAUCAGAAGUGGUUUCUGACCUGAAAGAAGCUUUGUUCAGCUGGGUCCAACUGGCUUAAGCCAUGCAUUGGAUUGAAUAGAUUAACUUCUCUCCGGUGCCUCAUAGAAUGGUGCGCUGGUUACGUUCCAGUUGAGUGAAAAUAUUCAUUCAUCUGUUUUCUGUGGUUCAGAUGGGAAAGGUAUGGAGCCUGGAGGGGAAGACUCCUGUGUUUGUCAGAAUACAGGGGCAAGAGGGAAGAAGAGUUCUCAGGGUGUGCUCAGGAUGCAGAUAAAUGUGCUCUGAAAUGACUUAUUGAUUCUGUUCUUUGUGUCACGAUUCAUCUUCUACCAGCUUCUUGUUCGCUGUUGUAUUCGGCAAUGUGGGAGCUGAGUGCUGUCAUCUGAGUCGGUCCUGCCUUUACCAGCAAGAACCUGCUGGGCUCAAGCAUCCCUUCUUGGGAGAGGAGCCAAGAAGUACUGACACUUUUCAGGGACUAGGAGGAAAGGAAGACAAGGUGUUGCACUCACGUGAGGAGGACUCAGUCUUGGCCCCUAGAGUGACGGUGAUGAGGAAGAGGAGAGAGGAGAUGGUGGCCACGGAGACCUU
Fukomys damarensis (Damara mole-rat) is the source of this 1896-nucleotide long non-coding RNA. RefSeq lists it as uncharacterized. NCBI's taxonomy places the organism in Eukaryota, Metazoa, Chordata, Mammalia, Rodentia, Bathyergidae. The record is from RefSeq and is a predicted model, not a curated record. The transcript has 3 exons.